RNAcentral lists this ribosomal RNA (468 nucleotides) under uncultured bacterium. RNAcentral describes it as "partial 16S ribosomal RNA". It matches the Rfam family "Bacterial small subunit ribosomal RNA", at positions 28 to 507 of the family's 1533-position model. The record is from RNAcentral.
GACGAACGCUGGCGGCGUGCUUAACACAUGCAAGUCGAACGGAAAGGCCCUGUUUUUGUGGGAUGCUUGAGUGGCGAACGGGUGAGUAACACGUGAGUAACCUGCCCUUGACUUUGGGAUAACUUCAGGAAACUGGGGCUAAUACCGGAUAGGAGCUCCUGCUGCAUGGUGGGGGUUGGAAAGUUUUGGCGGUUGGGGAUGGGCGCGCGGCUUAUCAGCUUGUUGGUGGGGUAGUGGCUUACCAAGGCUUUGACGGGUAGCCGGCGUGAGAGGGUGACCGGCCACAUUGGUACUGAGAUACGGCCCAGACUGCUACGGGAGGCAGCAGUGGGGAAUAUUGCACAAUGGGCGGAAGCCUGAUGCAGCAACGCCGCGUGCGGGAUGACGGCCUUCGGGUUGUAAACCGCUUUCGCCUGUGACGAAGCGUGAGUGUCGGUAAUGGGUAAAGAAGCACCGGCUAACUACGUG